CUUUACUAAAUGGAUCAGAGUCUGAAAAACUCAAAAAUUUUUGUGUUGUCAUCAGCUUCGUCUCUUAUUUGUCCCACGGGAAUGGAGUUAAAUAACAGCACUAAAUUU
Prosopis cineraria is the source of this 108-nucleotide small nucleolar RNA. RefSeq annotates it as small nucleolar RNA snoR97. The record is from RefSeq and is a predicted model, not a curated record. The transcript has a single exon. Lineage: Eukaryota; Viridiplantae; Streptophyta; Magnoliopsida; Fabales; Fabaceae.